UGGGGAAUUUUGGACAAUGGGCGCAAGCCUGAUCCAGCCAUGCCGCGUGCGGGAAGAAGGCCUUCGGGUUGUAAACCGCUUUUGGCAGGAACGAAACGGCGCGAGCCAAUACCUCGCGCUAAUGACGGUACCUGCAGAAUAAGCACCGGCUAACUACGUGCCAGCAGCCGCGGUAAUACGUAGGGUGCAAGCGUUAAUCGGAAUUACUGGGCGUAAAGCGUACGCAGGCGGCUUUGCAAGACAGGUGUGAAAUCCCCGGGCCUAACCUGGGAACUGCAUUUGUGACUGCAUGGCUAGAGUCUGUCAGAGGGGGGUGGAAUUCCACGUGUAGCAGUGAAAUGCGUAGAGAUGUGGAAGAACACCGAUGGCGAAGGCAGCCCCCUGGGAUGAGACUGACGCUCAUGUACGAAAGCGUGGGGAGCAAACAGGAUUAGAUACCCUGGUAGUCCACGCCCUAAACGAUGUCGACUAGUUGUCGGGUCUUUACGGACUUGGUAACGCAGCUAACGCGUGAAGUCGACCGCCUGGGGAGUACGGUCGCAAGAUUA
Molecule: ribosomal RNA, 548 nt
Filed under: uncultured bacterium
Lineage: Bacteria
Description: bacterial SSU rRNA
Rfam family: Bacterial small subunit ribosomal RNA
Source: RNAcentral